This 384-nucleotide long non-coding RNA is filed under the name Hordeum vulgare. RNAcentral's name for it is "long non-coding RNA (HVUL_LNC018175)". The record is from RNAcentral. Lineage: Eukaryota; Viridiplantae; Streptophyta; Magnoliopsida; Poales; Poaceae.
GGGGGGGGAGGGGCUGAAUACUGGAUUCAUGCUGUCUCGAGGGGCCACAGACCACCACUCUCCAGCCAGAGGAUUAUAGAGGCAUAGGCAACCGGGAAAGUGCCACCUCUGAUGCCGAAAGCACCGCGACACACUGCAACAAGCCAUGCCCGCCAUUGAUGCCACCAGCAGAGGCCGCAAUACAUUCACAACGGUGUCGAUGCCCUAGAUCUAACACACCCAAGAACCAGAAAUCAAAGCCAAGCAAUGAUGCCUCGCCGCUGCUGUCCUUGGUAGCUGUGUUGGCUUUCCCGUCAGCGACCUCAUGCGGCACCGAGAAGGAGAGUUGGUGGUGAAAGGAGGGCAUGUGGCGACCAAGGUCAGGGGGUUGCUCAAGUCGCCCAG